Molecule: transfer RNA, 73 nt
Filed under: Paramuricea clavata
Lineage: Eukaryota; Metazoa; Cnidaria; Anthozoa; Malacalcyonacea; Plexauridae
Rfam family: tRNA
About the family: Transfer RNA (tRNA) molecules are approximately 80 nucleotides in length. Their secondary structure includes four short double-helical elements and three loops (D, anti-codon, and T loops).
Source: Rfam by way of RNAcentral
GACUGCGUAGCUCAGUUGGAAGAGCAUUGGGCUAGUAUUAAAAAGGUCGUAGGUUCGAAUCCUACCGUGGCCG